GUGGGGAAUAUUGGACAAUGGGCGCAAGCCUGAUCCAGCCAUGCCGCGUGAGUGAUGAAGGCCUUAGGGUUGUAAAGCUCUUUCAGUGGGGACGAUAAUGACGGUACCCACAGAAGAAGCCCCGGCUAACUUCGUGCCAGCAGCCGCGGUAAUACGAAGGGGGCUAGCGUUGUUCGGAUUUACUAGGCGUAAAGCGCACGUAGGCGGAUCGUUAAGUCGGGGGUGAAAUCCUGGAGCUCAACUCCAGAACUGCCUUCGAUACUGGCGAUCUUGAGUCCGGAAGAGGUGAGUGGAACUCCUAGUGUAGAGGUGGAAUUCGUAGAUAUUAGGAAGAACACCAGUGGCGAAGGCGGCUCACUGGUCCGGUACUGACGCUGAGGUGCGAAAGCGUGGGGAGCAAACAGGAUUAGAAACCCUUGUAGUCC
Molecule: ribosomal RNA, 425 nt
Filed under: uncultured bacterium
Lineage: Bacteria
Description: partial 16S ribosomal RNA
Rfam family: Bacterial small subunit ribosomal RNA
Source: RNAcentral